Molecule: non-coding RNA, 98 nt
Filed under: Leuconostoc carnosum
Lineage: Bacteria; Bacillati; Bacillota; Bacilli; Lactobacillales; Lactobacillaceae
Also listed under: 1 other name
Description: TPP
Rfam family: TPP riboswitch aptamer (THI element)
About the family: Vitamin B(1) in its active form thiamin pyrophosphate (TPP) is an essential coenzyme that is synthesised by coupling of pyrimidine and thiazole moieties in bacteria. The previously detected thiamin-regulatory element, thi box was extended, resulting in a new, highly conserved RNA secondary structure, the THI element, which is widely distributed in eubacteria and also occurs in some archaea.
Source: RNAcentral
GAAAAAUAUCUGGGGUGCCUAUUAUUUGUUUGGCUGAGAAUAUACCCAUAUAACCUGAUCAGAUUAGAAUCUGCGUAGGAAGAUGUGAUUAAUAAUAU